CCUACGGGUGGCAGCAGUGGGGAAUAUUGGGCAAUGGAGGCAACUCUUACCCAGCAAUGCCGCGUGAAUGAAGAAGGUCCUCGGAUUGUAAAGCUUCUUAAUUGGGGACGCAAACAAUGACGGUACCCAAUCAAUAAGCUCACCCUAACUACGCGCCUGCACUCGCGGCAAUACGGAGGGGGCGAUCAUUGUGCGGAAUGACUGGGUGUCAAGGGUGUUUGGGGUGGGUAGCAAGUGAGAAGGGAAAAAGCUAGAGCUUAACGCAGGUACUGCUUCUCAAACUGCUAUACUUGAGUGCAGGAGAGGAAAGUGGAAUUCGUGGUGUAGCGGUGGAAUGCGUAGAUAUUAGGAGGAACAUCGAUGGCGAAGGC
This 371-nucleotide ribosomal RNA is filed under the name uncultured bacterium. RNAcentral describes it as "partial 16S ribosomal RNA". It matches the Rfam family "Bacterial small subunit ribosomal RNA", at positions 338 to 722 of the family's 1533-position model. The record is from RNAcentral.